GCCAGACUCCUACGGGAGGCAGCAGUGGGGAAUAUUGCACAAUGGGGGAAACCCUGAUGCAGCGACGCCGCGUGAGCGAAGAAGUAUUUCGGUAUGUAAAGCUCUAUCAGCAGGGAAGAAAAAAAUGACGGUACCUGAGUAAGAAGCACCGGCUAAAUACGUGCCAGCAGCCGCGGUAAUACGUAUGGUGCAAGCGUUAUCCGGAUUUACUGGGUGUAAAGGGAGCGUAGGCGGCGCGUUAAGUCUGAUGUGAAAACCCGAGGCUCAACCACGGGAGUGCAUUGGAAACUGGCGGGCUGGAGUGCCGGAGAGGUAAGCGGAAUUCCUAGUGUAGCGGUGAAAUGCGUAGAUAUUAGGAGGAACACCAGUGGCGAAGGCGGCUUACUGGACGGCAACUGACGCUGAGGCUCGAAAGCGUGGGGAGCAAACAGGAUUAGAUACCCGCGUAU
This 449-nucleotide ribosomal RNA is filed under the name uncultured bacterium. RNAcentral describes it as "bacterial SSU rRNA". It matches the Rfam family "Bacterial small subunit ribosomal RNA", at positions 330 to 793 of the family's 1533-position model. The record is from RNAcentral.